Molecule: transfer RNA, 74 nt
Filed under: Scolecomorphus vittatus
Lineage: Eukaryota; Metazoa; Chordata; Amphibia; Gymnophiona; Scolecomorphidae
Description: tRNA-Leu
Source: RNAcentral
GCUUUUAAAGGAAACUAGUCUAUCCUUUGGCUUUAGGUGCCAAUCCCCCCUUGGUGCAAAUCCAUGUAAAAGCU